AAUGCUUCAAGUAUUCACGUUCAAUUAUACUCCAGGUUUGGAGUCCAGAUCUACGAUAAAAAUCCAAUUUGAGAACUUUGAAACACGAGUAAGAUUCGAAACUUAAACGUUCCGUUCAUUAAGAAUCAUCCAAUUGAAAUUCAUUUGAAAGACAUUCGUGAAACACUUGCUUGCUUUUCAAAUCGUAAGGUUUUUGUAGCAUAUAUACUUGGAAACAACACUUGAGUUGAAAGUACAAGGAAAUACAAGUUUACAUUGGCCAUUAUAUCUUUUCCACAAGGUACAAGUUCGUUUAGGUUUUUAACGUAUAACCCUCGAUAACAAAGCAGCAAAGGUGCUCGCUAGUUCAAGUGAUAAUCACUUAACCUUUACACAAGUUACAAGUCUCGUUUCCUAGUUCUCGAGUGUAAAUUCGGGCAGCAUGCCCUUUGUGUUUACCAAAUUUUCCAGCCAUUUCGGCUUCAAUCCUUACACAAUCCAACCCAACAUCACCCACAAUAUAAUUUCAGUUCAUUAGCCAUUCCAUAGGCUCACAACAACUUACGAACAAAGAUUAAGCUAAUAUCAAGUGCGGAAAUGAAACUUAUCAAAAGACAGUUUUGACGGGUUUUGCGGAAAUAACACAUCUGAGGCUACGUUUAUCAGAUUGAUACGUAGCUUAUACCAUUUCGAAGUUAAGACGAAGGCCUACAACUUUCAUGAAGAGCACUCAGUCAAAUUUUCAAUGUAACCUGAUCAAAUUCCCAACUCAUGUAACAUGGUUUCAACUAUUCGGCUAAUCAACUACACUGUACUCAAAUGACCAUAUCUCAGUCUACCGAGGUCCGUUUAAUACGUUCUUGGUGGCGUUCAAAGCUAAGACAGGGCACUAAAACUUUCAUGUUUUAAUAAAUGACUAAAUCCGAACGGAUUAUGGUGAAUAAACUCAAUCAAAAGGACUGAACUGUCCACGCGGAACUCUGGAAAGUGACCUAGAUCAGCGAGGGUAUUUUCAUCUUUUCACAAGCUACGUUGCUCCGAUUGAGUUGAAAUUUUGUAGGAGCUAUAAAAUACCAUUCCCUACAACUUUCAUGUUUUGACCUAAGGCCAAUUUGGCCUCUAACAUGAGGCAACAAAAAUGGCAGAAUAGGAUGAAAAUUUCCAGAAAUCUGAAAUCUUUUGGUUUCAAUGAUAGUUUUCAUAAUUUCUUGCUACACUUGCUACCAAAACCCCCUAUAUAACCUUAUAUACAACAUAUACUAACUAUAAAACAAGUUUAGGCAGAAAUUAAUCAAACUCUAACUUACAUAUUUCAUCCAAAAAUCACCACAACAACUUGCAGCACUUGUAAUCAAACCCAAAACAUGGACUAUUUAACAUCUUAAACAAGAAUAAAAGGAUCAAAGCCAUAGAUCAGAUUUUAUACCUCAAAAAGAAGGCUUGCAAGAGUGAUCCUCCACUAUUUCUUGAAAUUUUUGGUUCUCUUAGCUUCCCAAGCUUCCAAACUUACGUUCAAUCGGUUUAGAAUUCGAUUUUAGCACUUGGUUGGUGUAAAUCAAGAAGGAAUUUGUUUUCUCUUCCUCUCCCUUUCUCUCUCUCUCACUUGGCUAAGAUACAGAAAAUAAUGAAGGAGAUUAAGCUAAGUUUGUCUUAUAUGAAGGUAGAAAGAUAAGAAUUAAUUCUAACCACAAGUUUGGCCAACACUUGGCUUAACCUCAACCACAAAAAUUUUCUCUUUCCUUCCUUGCAUUUGAGCCACAAAUUUCGGUCAAGCUUAGCUGUAAAUUAGGAGAUAUUUUGCUCAAAUAUCAAUAAACUUGUAUGGUAAGAAAGUGGUGGUCAAGUGGUGCUUUCAAUCGGUAGUGCGCGGGACCCGCCGGUUCGCGCCGUUUUUCUUAAAAACACACGUACUAGGGUUUUUACUUCCUAUUCACCAACCUUAUCUCAUUGCUCCUAAUCACAUAUUAUUUCUCACUUAAGAGUCACUUUUAAUCACCAAAUUUGAUCCUUGCUCCGUACCGAAAAUUCAUCCGGCGGCCCUAAUUUUGCUCCAAUCUUGAAUCCAAAAGUGAAACCCUACUUUCUAGGUUCAUUGGCACUUAUUGUGGGGUGAUUGAGUAGUAGGGCCAUUAUAAAGUAGUAUUUGUCAAAGAAAAGGGAAUUUUAAGAAAAAUAUAAGGGAAUUUGCACGGCUUCUGGCCGGAUUCUCCACAAAACACUAUUCACCAGAAAUUUUUCCCUUUUCUUCUGCCUCGGGGCGUCACAAACUCCCCUCCUUAAAUGAAUGUCGUUCUCGACAUUCCAACUUGUACUAAUUAGAUCAAAAUAGUUCUCGAAAGUUGAUCACGUAUUAAGAAUCAUUUCAAUCUCGCGUAUCAUAAUCAAAUACUAAUCAGAUCAAAUAUCUCAAAGGUCAAUCACAUACUAAGAAUCACUCAUCACAAUCAAGUACUAAAAGUACUCCAAUCCAACUUAUCAAAUAAUCUUGAUCAAAUAGAUAGUCAGACGAGUAACUGGAUACAUGUACAAAAGGCUCGAAAUCGGACUUAAAGUCCCUGAUAUUUGGAAAAACAAUCCAGGACAUAACGAUGUCUCAGGUCAGAAAUUACCCCUGGUGGUGCUUGAAAACACAACAAACUAGCACUAUGGCUAAGCUUCACCAGAGUCUCAGAUGUAGGAUUUUGUCCAUGGCGGUGCUGGACAACAAAACAGGUUAGCACAACGGCUAUACCUCGCCAAAGGACCUCAGUUCAAAAUUUCAUCCUUGGUGGUGCUUGGUAACACAACAAGUUAGCACAACGGCUAAACUUCACCAGAGGAUCUUAGCUCAAGAAAUUGGCCCUGGUGGUGCUUGGAAACACAACAAACUAGCACUACGGCUAAGCUUCACCAAAGAGCCUCAAGUCAAAGCUUCAUCCCUGAUGGUGCUUGAAAACACAACAGGUAUGCCUCGCCAGAAGAAUAGCGGUGCUUGAAAACACAACAGGCCAUACCUCAUCAGAGAGGUUCUGUUCAAGAAUUUCAAUCCCUGAUGGUGCUUGGAAACACAACAGGUAUGCCUCACCAGAGAGGUUCUGUUCAACCGCUACAAAAGAGUAGUAGCCGGUCUAUAACCAAACAAGUACGAAAAUGUUCAGAAACAGAGUCAAAAGCAGGGUUCAAGUGCAUCGGUUCAAAAGUAGGGUCAAUUAUUUCAGAUUCAAAGAACAUGAAUACGAGUAGGGACUCACUUGCCUAGCUUAUGCCCAGUAAUUCACACUCUCAAGCAGUCAUCAAACUCAAAUCCACAUACAGAUCAUAUAUGAAUCAAGAUACUCGCUCAAGAGUAAAAGAGAUACCCUAUUUUCAGUCAGGUCAGGUCUAUCAAGUGUACGUAAGGGUACACUAGCCGAUACAAAUUCAAGUCUCAAAUGAGCUCAGUCUAGUCGGUCUUAGACAGUUCAAAUAUCUCAAAUCUUAACAUUUACCACUCGGGUGGUAUAACCUUAAUCAAACAGGAAAAUUAGAAGAAAAAUGCAAACCAAAACUUUUCUCAACAAUUCCGGCCACCACCAUAGUCUAUCAAAACCCUAGCCAAGAAUCCAAAACUAAGAAACUGUGCAGCUCAGGCCGUACGCUCACAAGCGUAAUUCAACCAAAUCAUAUCUUACGCGUACCACUUUCAAGAUUCACAACUGACGCUCCAAAAGAGCACUGAACGUACAAACCAAUCCUAAAGUCUGGCAUCCUAAACUUUAAGCCUAGGAUACACUAAAAAGAUCUGAAACCUAAGCUCUGAUACCACCUGUGACGACCCCACUUCCCCCUAAGGCGUACCAAAGGGUUCGGCGGAUCGCCUGCCCAGCUCUCGCCAGGACUCACUCACUAUGGAACUCGAAUCUUGUACACACAUUCAUGAACCAUAAAUAACAUCCAAUUCUCCAAAAAUUACAUAUUAUAAGCGAAGCGGAAACUAGUUCUAAGCGUAGAAUGUAGAUAUACAUCGGAUUCAAUUCCAAAUAUUUAUACAGGCUCAAAAGUACAUAAACCAAAACCAAAUCUAAACUAUACAAGGUAUACGCUAUCCAGUCACACAAAGAUCCAAAUACAAGAUCUCCUUUACUUCGAUCCCUGUGGGGAAAAGAAGAUAAUAGGGGAUGAGCUAGAAGCUCAGUGAGUGACCAGUAAAAUCAGUAAGCAAAUAUAUUUCACAAUAGUGUAUUUCAAUGAUGUCAUGAUUCAGAGAUGGAAUAUACAUUUAUUGCUCACGAGAGCCAGUGAAAUUCUUGUACUUAAAUAUCCAAUGCUCGUUUAGAUCAGGUAACCGUGAAACAAAAGUAAGGAGCCAUCGUGUUCCAAAGAAUGUGUAAACAGUAGUGGAAACAUUGGUUCUAAGCACAAGACUUUCCAGGAACUCAUUGGAGCCAAAUUAUGUCAUGGCACACACCCGAACCCCAAAUGAUAUGCAAUGGAGUAAUAAAUUCAAGAAUUAGUUCAACAGCAACUUUGGAAACAGUUGAGGGAUCACUCACCCAAAAUAUAAUGCUUCAAGUAUUCACGUUCAAUUAUACUCCAGGUUUGGAGUCCAGAUCUGCGAUAAAAAUCCAAUUUGAGAACUUUGAAACACGAGUAAGAUUCGAAACUUAAACGUUCCGUUCAUUAAGAAUCGUCCAAUUGAAAUUCAUUUGAAAGACAUUCGUGAAACACUUGCUUGCUUUUCAAAUCGUAAGGUUUUUGUAGCAUAUAUACUUGGAAACAACACUUGAGUUGAAAGUACAAGGAAAUACAAGUUUACAUUGGCCAUUAUAUCUUUUCCUCAAGAUACAAGUUCGUUUAGGUUUUUAACGUAUAACCCUCGAUAACAAAGCAGCAAAGGUGCUCGCUAGUUCAAGUGAUAAUCACUUAACCUUUACACAAGUUACAAGUCUCGUUUCCUAGUCCUCGAGUGUAAAUUCGGGCAGCAUGCCCUUUGUGUUUACCAAAUUUUCCAGCCAUUUCGGCUUCAAUCCUUACACAAUCUAACCCAACAUCACCCACAAUAUAAUUUCAGUUCAUUAGCCAUUCCAUAGGCUCACAACAACUUACGAACAAAGAUUAAGCUAAUAUCAAGUGCGGAAAUGAAACUUAUCAAAAGACAGUUUUGACGGGUUUUGCGGAAAUAACACAUCUGAGGCUACGUUUAUCAGAUUGAUACGUAGCUUAUACCAUUUCGAAGUUAAGACGAAGGCCUACAACUUUCAUGAAGAGCACUCAGUCAAAUUUUCAAUGUAACCUGAUCAAAUUCCCAACUCAUGUAACAUGGUUUCAACUAUUCGGCUAAUCAACUACACUGUACUCAAAUGACCAUAUCUCAGUCUACCGAGGUCCGUUUAAUACGUUCUUGGUGGCGUUCAAAGCUAAGACAGGGCACUAAAACUUUCAUGUUUUAAUAAAUGACUAAAUCCGAACGGAUUAUGGUGAAUAAACUCAAUCAAAAGGACUGAACUGUCCACGCGGAACUCUGGAAAGUGACCUAGAUCAGCGAGGGUAUUUUCAUCUUUUCACAAGCUACGUUGCUCCGAUUGAGUUGAAAUUUUGUAGGAGCUAUAAAAUACCAUUCCCUACAACUUUCAUGUUUUGACCUAAGGCCAAUUUGGCCUCUAACAUGAGGCAACAAAAACGGGCAGAAUAGGAUGAAAAUUUCCAGAAAUCUGAAAUCUUUUGGUUUCAAUGAUAGUUUUCAUAAUUUCUUGCUACACUUGCUACCAAAACCCCCUAUAUAACCUUAUAUACAACAUAUACUAACUAUAAAACAAGUUUAGGCAGAAAUUAAUCAAACUCUAACUUACAUAUUUCAUCCAAAAAUCACCACAACAACUUGCAGCACUUGUAAUCAAACCCAAAACAUGGACUAUUUAACAUCUUAAACAAGAAUAAAAGGAUCAAAGCCAUAGAUCAGAUUUUAUACCUCAAAAAGAAGGCUUGCAAGAGUGAUCCUCCACUAUUUCUUGAAAUUUUUGGUUCUCUUAGCUUCCCAAGCUUCCAAACUUACGUUCAAUCGGUUUAGAAUUCGAUUUUAGCACUUGGUUGGUGUAAAUCAAGAAGGAAUUUGUUUUCUCUUCCUCUCCCUUUCUCUCUCUCUCACUUGGCUAAGAUACAGAAAAUAAUGAAGGAGAUUAAGCUAAGUUUGUCUUAUAUGAAGGUAGAAAGAUAAGAAUUAAUUCUAACCACAAGUUUGGCCAACACUUGGCUUAACCUCAACCACAAAAAUUUUCUCUUUCCUUCCUUGCAUUUGAGCCACAAAUUUCGGUCAAGCUUAGCUGUAAAUUAGGAGAUAUUUUGCUCAAAUAUCAAUAAACUUGUAUGGUAAGAAAGUGGUGGUCAAGUGGUGCUUUCAAUCGGUAGUGCGCGGGACCCGCCGGUUCGCGCCGUUUUUCUUAAAAACACACGUACUAGGGUUUUUACUUCCUAUUCACCAACCUUAUCUCAUUGCUCCUAAUCACAUAUUAUUUCUCACUUAAGAGUCACUUUUAAUCACCAAAUUUGAUCCUUGCUCCGUACCGAAAAUUCAUCCGGCGAAAAUCGCGAAAACCCUAAUUUUGCUCCAAUCUUGAAUCCAAAAGUGAAACCCUACUUUCUAGGUUCAUUAGCACUUAUUGUGGGGUGAUUGAGUAGUAGGGCCAUUAUAAAGUAGUAUUUGUCAAAGAAAAGGGAAUUUUAAGAAAAAUAUAAGGGAAUUUGCACGGCUUCUGGCCGGAUUCUCCACAAAAUACUAUUCACCAGAAAUUUUUCCUUUUUCUUCUGCCUCGGGGCGUCACAGAAAUCAAGUAGAUUGUUGCCUAAUUGAUAUCCUUAGAUGUGAACCAACGAACAUAUUCUUACAGCUCUAUCUGUUGGUACUUCAUCCCAUAUUCUUACAGCUCUAUCUGAUGGCUAUAAGUUUUACGUUGCAGAUGGAAUCUUAGAAAUCACACAUGACAAGAUAGUUCUGAGGAUGUGAAGAAGCAUGGUGAUUUUACCACUUGAUUACCUCAAUGGUCAGAGAUAGAGCUCAUAGAAAGGGAUCCCAAAUUGCAAGUGGUGGUGAGAAAAAAUCCUGUAAAAGAAGAUGAUAAAUUGAAACACUUUCUUACGAGACAAUAAGCAGUUAGACUCAGGGUAACUGCACAGAUUCAUUUGUCGAUUGAAUUAAUCGGAUGUCAGGAUUGUAUUGAUUCAGAUGUGUAGUUCAGUACCAUAUUAUUUAGUAGUUGAAGGCAAAUGGUUACUAAAAAAAUAUUCAUUAAAGUGGAGAUUUGUUAGGAAAUUAAUUUAAUUUCUUUUAGCAGGUUUUUUGUGUGUUGAAGUAAUUAGUUUUCUAAUUGAUUUUACUUACUUGAAAUAGUAACCAAGGAAUUUCCUAUUUGUAUAAGGUUAGAAAUUAGAAAAUAUUUCCUAUUCUGUAUCAAUUAGAAAUUACCAAUUAUUUCCUAUUAUUACUUGGAUGUUGACCAAGUAAUAUAGCUUAUACGUAGGUAGAGUUUAGUAUACUAUAAAGUGACACAUAAGGGCGACAUGUAACUUUAUGCAUGGAGUGAGAGAGCGUUCUUGAAAGAUAAGAGAAGGUAUACAAGAGUUGAGAUUGGGUUCAAGUUGUAUUCUUGUAUAGGGUUUCCUCCAUAAUAAAGAAUGGAUUUCUCACAGUGAACAUAGACUCAAUGAUAUAGUCGAGCCAUGUUAAUCUUAUGUGUCAUUUAUCUUUCAUGUUUGGGACUUAUUUUUCAUUAAAUUGUUGUGUGUUUGAUGUUUCAAUAGUUGUUUAUUCCAUGCUUAAAUCUCAACAGUAUAAUGCAGGAUCUAGAGCUGUACUGAAAUGAGUUAUUUUGAAUGGUGAUUUAUUCGCAACGGAUCUUUUGUGUCACUGUGACGGCCCCACCUCCUUCUAGGGUAUACCCUAAAAGUUAGGGGAUCGUCUGCCUGGCUCUUGCCAGGACUCAUUAAUUUCAUAUUAACUUCAGAGAUAAUAUUGUGGUAUACUAAAACCACAUAUUCAAAUCUUUUACAAUGCCAAGUUUAAUACAAAACUUCAACCAUAAUAUGAUACUAAAGGAUUUACAAUUACAAAAGUCUUCACAUUAACUCCCUAAGAUCCCUCGUUCAUUCCCCUACCACCAACUCCUGUAAGGAAAACAAAGCUGAGGGGAUGAGCUUACGCCCAGUGAGGUUUCCAUGCAAGCAACGAUCAAUAAACACUUAAACCAGAUAAGCCAGUAACAAAAUUAAGCAACUAAGGAACACUUCACUGAAUAAAGUAGAGAACACUUCAUUGAACAAUCACUUUGAAAAGGAUACGGUGCUGGCAUUAGAGCCACUUCCUUCUGGGAGUUAGUUCAAUAUCAUUGCACACUCAUUUCAAUGUCAUUGUUCAUUUAUUUCAGUGUCAUGAGACACUCAUUUCAAUAUCAUUGCAUACUCCGCCAAUUCACCUCCUUAUGUCCUCCAAAAUAAUAAACAAUCCCCUGCAUUCAAUGAUUAGUUUAAUAAUCUCCCAAUUUCAAGAUAAUACUCGAGUAUAUCGAAACAUUUACCCAAAGCUUCCAUCCUAUCCGACCAAGCCCUUUGCUGGCUCGAAUAGUCCGUUGAACAGAGGGUUUUGAGGCCUAGUUCAGCCGAUGUGGUAAAGUACACACACGGCUUACAGUCAUGCACACUUACAAUAACACUUGAUCAAUUAGCAACUUUCAAGCUCAAACUAAGUCAAGUGCGAUAAAGUACACACCCGACUUAGAAGGCGAUGGACAAUUGACAUAUACUUUACAAUGAAUCACUAGCAAUAUUCCAUAAUAAGCACAUUUAUCAUAUAAUUUCAUUUAAGCAAACAUAAACAGUUAAACACAUAAAUUCGGAAACACUCACCAAAUAUCCAAAUAAAUUACUCUCGAGCCUCGGAUUUGUUUUCUGGCUCAUAGCUAUCCCCUGAGACAAUUUAUAACUCUAAAGUAAAUAUACAAUUCAUAGAUCACCACUUAUCAUUUAUUACCUUUUAUGAUUUAAACUAUUAAAGUCAAGUUUUGGCUUUAAAACAUAAAAUAUAACAUAUUUUAUAUUUAUUUUACAUUUUUUUUCAAAAUUUAUUAAUUUUAUUAUUUCAAACCAAGAAUUAUACAUUUUUCCCAAGUUUGUAUCUUUAUAUAAUAUUUAAAUCAGGAAUAUAUCUUUCUCAAUUCAAUUUUCAUUAAUUAUGGCUUAUAGACACUCCAUUUGUUCCCUUUUAAAUCAACUAAACUCUAAGUUGUUUGUAAAUUAAACUUUUUAUUCCACUACACCAGCCCCUCAAGUUCUAAAGUCUUUAAAAUAUUCAUGAAGACAAUGUUAAGUUAUUGUAGACACCAAAUUUUUAAUUUAGUUUUAUUUACUAUUAUUUUUAUUUUCAUUGAUUAAAUGUUAAUUAUUAUUAUUCAUUUUUAGUCUCUUAGUUUUUAUUUUUAGUAUUUAAAUUUCAGAAUAAGAAAAUUUUCACAAAAAAAGUUGUUUUAAUCAUUUUGGAUUCAAUUUGAAAAAUAUAUAUAAUUUUGUUUCUUUACUUAAAUAAAUUUUUGAAAGAAAAAAUACAAAAAAAAAUAAAAUAAUAAGGAAGAAUGUGUGAAUAGGUGUAAACUUGCAUGUGAGACAAGUGUCCCUUUAUGUAUUUGACAACACACCACCUAGAAGGUGAGGUGUUGAGACACUUGGAGGCCUAAGAUUUGAAGGAAAAGAAAAAACAAAAAGAAAAUAACGAAAAGGGAAGGAGAUGUGGCGGCUAGGGUAGAAAAAAAAGGCAACAAGAAGAAAAAUGGGGGGAUGCUAGAAAAAUGGGGAGCUUCGUCUGAGAGCCAAAAAAAAAAAAGAAUAGAGCAAAAGGAAAAAGAGUGAGAAAAACAGAGAAAAAAAAAGGGCGGCGGACGAGAGGGAAAAGAAGAGGAGUGCAAGAACUGAAGAACAGGGGAAGAGAAGGGGGAACCUGAGAAAUUUGGAAAGGAGCUUCAGAGCUGAAAAAAGAAAAAAAAUAGAGGGAAGGAGGGAGAAUCCGGGAAAGAAAAAGAAAGAAAAAAAAAACAGAGGGGAAGUGAAGGAACAUUAGAAGAACGAGGCGGGUUCAUCAGAAGAGCCACCGGAACCGCCGCCGCUCGCAAGAAGCUGCCACCACCUCACCGGAAUCCAUUGUCAUUGCCUACGGAUUUUCACCGAGCAAGAGGAUUGUAAGCCAUCUUUUUCCCUUUGAAUAUCAGUUUUUUUUCUUCAAGCACAAACGCUGGAAAUCCCAAAGCAUGUCUUUUGUGAAUUUGUUAUUGCAAUUUUCCUGUUGAUUGUCUAUAAUUUUUUGAUCGCACACGCUUUAUGGGUUAAUUGGACUGAAAUCCCUUGUUUUCUGACUAUUUUGGGGCUGAUUGUAACUUCAAUUAAGCAAACAAUAGGUGGAUUUUUUAAUGCCCAUUUGUUGUUCGAUGAAAUGCCUAAUUGAAAGUUUUACUUGAAAGACGGCUCAUCUGCGUUUUGCGUGUGGAAAAAAAUGAACAGAGAGCAAGUUCAAUGUUUGUCAAAACAUAAUAGUUGAUUUUCACGGUAGAAAGGAGAGUUUUUGAUCUUGAUGUGCUUGUGUGUGACACCUUUUCUGUUUUUCUGUUUCUUGUUCUUCCCUUGGUAUGAACUCAAAUUAUGUCGUAAGAUUGCAUGCGAGAGAGUUUGGGUGAGUAUUCAUUUUCUUUUGGAGGGGACCAGAGGAGUUGAAGUGCAACCUGUUGAUGUUUUUAUUCUGCGAGGAAAGGGUAAAUGGCCGCUGAUGUUCUUUUGAUCUUCAAUGGUUUAAUAUUCAUGAUUGGGUUGUGUUAAUCAAGGGGGUUGAAUUUGUUAAAGGGUCUUGUUUGCUUCGAAUUUGUUUCGUGUGGUUCCUGGGGUGAGUUAUAGAAGAAAGAAUGUAGAAGAAAGCUGCAAGAGAGCUUCGAGCAGGAUGCAUGAUAAUUUCUGAAUUUUUUAUUUUAGCCCCCAACUUUUGUCUAAUUGCAGUAUGGCCCAAAUCUUUUGUAAUUGAACCAUUCACGUCCCUAUUGAGUGUUCAUCUUCUCUUCAUAUUUUAAGUGCAUUUCUAAACAUGUUAUUUCUGUGAUUUGGGGUAUAAUUAAAUCUUAAUUUGUUUUAGUGGAUUUAUUAUCUUAUUGGGUUAUUGUAAAAUAGGUAGUUUGGGUUAAAGGUUUGUUUGGUCGGGUUUGGCUAAUGGGUUGUUAGUUUUUUUUUUUUUUUUGGGUUUUUGGCUUGGAUUUAGAAGGUAAAAGCCUACCCUUUUUGUUGGGUUUGUUUGGGGUAAGAUUAUGGUCUGACCCGUGCACUUUCCUUGGAUUUUCGUAAGGCUUGGGGUUUUCGGCCCAAACAAAUAAGAAAAGGGCCCAACAGUCUGUUAAGUCAAGAAGUCUGUGACGAUUUUUCAUUCCAGUCCCCUAAUUUUUGAGUAUUUUCACUACGGCCCUACAAACUUUUGACUUCUUCCACUUAGGUCCCUAAUUUAAUUGCAAAUUGGUCCUUGAACUUUAUCUUUCCUUCUAGUUUGGCCCUAAAGGUUCUAGAAAUCAUGAUUUGGCCCUAAAAACUUUCUGAUAUUUGUGAUUUGGUCCUUGGCAGAUUUAAUUUUGCAACUUCAUUGCUUGUUUGCUUCAAUUAGCCACCAUAUUUUGUUUAAACUGCAUUUAAUUCAUAAUUUUAAGGGCUUUAUGACCAAUUGAGCUUGUGUUUGCAUAUUUUCUUCAGUUUUCUCAAUUAAAGUGAUGCCUUGAUUCUUUCUUUGUUUUUGGAGGGUAAAUAAGUAAUUUCACUUCAUUAGGGUUUCAACUCAAGGGAGGUACACUCUAUCCCUUAUUUUGACUUUAUUUGAUCCUAUGUGCCCUAUGUGACUCUAUGUGCUUAAUUGCUUACCUUUUGAAUGUUUUCAUUUCAUUUAUUUAUUUAUUCGCUUUAUUUGUUUUAAUUUUGUAUACUUAUUUCAAUGUAAUUAUUUGAAAGGCAUUCAAAGGCCAAAGUUGUAAUAGUUAAGGGUUUAUUUAUUUUUAUUUUUCCCCUUUUAGAUUGUAGUAGGGCCCCCCAAUAUAAUAGUUAGGGCUUGUUUGCUUUAUUUGCUUGGUAUGUUUUGCAUGCUUAUGUGUUAUGUAUUAUCCGCUUUUUUAGGGCCUUGCAUCUAGAUAUCAUACUUAUGUGUUAUGUGCUAUACGUGAUUUAUGUGUUUACAUGCUUUUAUUAGGUCUUACAUGAUUUAUUUGAUUAUAACAAAUGCAUGUCGUCACUACACUAGUCCAACACUAGUUGUGACCCCCUUUCCCGAAUCCACACUAGUCCAACGCUAGUUGUGGCUCAUUGUUCUGAUUUUUCACUAGUCCAAUGCUAGUAGGAAUUCAUAGAUAUGAGCUAGUCCAACGCUAGACCCUUAGGAGCCCUUCGAGCGUUAGAUCAUGAUUGUGUGAUAAAAUCAUUUCAUCUCAUGCAUAUUUUUCACUUUCUAAGGUCUUUUAUCAUUUUUUGCAUGUUCCCCUUAUAUAUAUCCCCUAUCCCACAUUCCCUCUUAUAUUCGUAUCCCCUAUUUUUAUUUUUCCUUUAUAUAAAUCCUAUGUAUGAGACAUGACAUUAGAUUUGCAUUUCAUGUAGGGAAAAUUAGAGAUAGGUUAAUACAUUUGUUUGAUUAGAUUAGGAAAAACCCCUUGAGUAUGGGAUGUGGACAAGUUUGAUUUUCUAACCUUAGCACGCUCAUAUUCCCUCUGUUAAAGGGAAAAUUGAGUCACGAACAUUAGUCCCCCGUACCUGACAUGAUGCAUUUCUUUAGGACAUGUAUAUUUGUAUAAUUAUGAUUAUUUUUAUUAUUUUCCUUCCCUUUUCUUAGAGUCUCAUGUUUUUGCAUUAUUCGUGACUUCUUCGAAGAGUCUUUAUUGGGCAUCACAAUUAAUGUGAUUGGUAUCAAGUAAGUUUUGAAAAUAUAUUUCGACCCCUCGACACCCUCUUAGGUUUAGGGUUUGCAUUCAUAUAGUACGUCCAAAUGUGAUAAAUGCUUAGAUUAAAGAUAAGAAAAUCUUUGACUAAAUCACGCAACUAGUUUUGGCUAGGUUGAAAGGGUGUUUUGGAUUUUGUCCUUGCCUUCCCUUUCUUCAAAUGUGACUCCUGAACACGUUUCUUUGAUUUUCGUAAACUUGGAGUCGUUUAAAAAGGAUUUUUAACUUUUUCUUUAAAAAUUCAUUUUUAGGUGACUUGGUACACCUUAACUUUAUACCAAGUGGCGACUCCGAUUUUUAUUCAAAAAUCAUUUUUAAACUAUAAUUUGGGCCUUUCUUCAAAUGUGACUCCCGAACACGUUUCUUUGAUUUUCGUAGACUUGGAGUCGUUUAAAAAGGGUUUUCUACUUUUUCUUUAAAAAUUCAUUUUUGGGUGACUUGGUACACCUUAACUCUAUACCAAGUGGCGACUCCGAUUUUUAUUCAAAAAUCAUUUUUAAACUAUAAUUUGGGCCCAAAUCGUCGCAUUACAAAUCCCAUUUAGGCUCAUUUUCUUUUAAAUCAAAAAUUCAUUUUCCAAUCAAGAAUUGAAUUAAAAUUCAUUUUUUUAAACCAUUUAUUUUUCUUAUUUUUAAAAAAAUGGGAUGCCACAGUUUUUAGCAGCCGUUUGAUGUAUAUAACUACAACAAAUUACUUUGGAGUUUCCAAAACAUCAUGGAAGGCAUAACUAAUUACCAUUUCAGCUAGCAACAAUAUUCCAGCAAUAUUACUUCGGAUUUUCAAAAAAACUCCAUUCUUUUACUUGCUUACAGCUCUAAGCACUAAAUGUACAUUCGGUACAGUUUAAUCCAAGACAAAUAACACCUAGUUUCAACAACUUAUUCGAUCAAAUGUCAUUCUCAAAAUCUGUCAUCAUCAUUUGCAUUAGUCGUUAGCUCUUCCAACAGUAUGGCAGCUUAAAUUUGCAGCCUUUACUCCCUAAUUGCUUCGGUUAACUCUAACUUAUGGUGCCAAACACGUUUGCUAAUCACAGAGCAGUUUUAGCUAUCAUCUGUGCAAGUUUAUGGUGUCAGAAAUUGGAGGAAAUGUUGUUCCAGAAUUUAUUUCCCUCUCUCUCAACAUCACAGCAGGUUGCAUCAGCUUCCUUUUACCAAGUUUAGCUAGACUUCCUGAAAUUUUCUGACUUCCUAAGGCUCCUAUCUGUUCGGUCAAAGGUUUAACAAAUUUUCCAUGUAUUCAUUAAUAAGAGUUCCAGAAUCAGCAACAACAAUUGCACAGCCUGCUUCAUUCCCUCGGCCAACUACCUGCAAUCAGUUAAGUGUAUUUGUCCUGUUAUGUUCAUUCUAGUUUCUACUUGUUUCUUGCUCGUUGAAGUUUAAGGUCUGUGUGAUAUGUUACAACUUACUACACAGGCCUAGAAACUAAGGGUUGCAGGGAACAACUAGAAUCUCUUAUCUGUUCUGCUCAAUCAAAACCAACAGGUUUUGAAAGGUAGUGAUUUUGCAGCUGGUGCUUCCUUUUUUAUUCUCCCUCAGUUUAUAUCCUAGCUAAACUUAUAGAAUGUAUUGAUUUAACUGCAAGUUAUCCUAAGCCAAACAUGACAGUUUAUGGUUAGGAUUCAAAAGGAAACUGGAUUAUGUCUUAGGUCGGCGCAUGGCUGCAAAUUCUGAUGCACAGCAACCUGCAUCAGGUUUCUUUCCUCAGUCGAAGCUCAGUUUCUCUACUCAAACACUACUUGCAGCUUAUUCAUUCAUUCAUUUUUACCGAAUCAGCAUGAGGUUAUUGCAGAUUCUUAACAUUAUCAUCCCAAGAAAUAUUAAGAACAGUUACAAGUUCCAGUUUCUGCAAUUUCGCUUUUCUUGCAGUUUUACAAUUCCUGCACGACAUUUACUUCAGCAAAAAGCUCAAAUUCCUAGCUAAAUUUAACAUGCAGCUAGAGUUUAUCCAAUUAUACCAACUAAGCAGUGAGUUGUUAUAAGAUCUUACCUCUUUCCCCCUAAAGUUCGAUGUUGCAGGGUGCUCAAGUUUCUGUUUCAGCUCCUCAAGUCCUAACACUCGAUUCUCCCGUUUUCCUUACCUUCGUUUGCUUGAUUGUGGUUAGCUGAUGAAGAAGCUAGCCAAAUUGUCCUUCCCUCACACUCUAUUCCACUCCCUCGGUUCUGUUUUGUAGAGAUUGAAAGAAAGAGAGAAAGGAAGAGCUGUCUAGUUUCUUUGCUCUCGGUCACCGCCCAACUAAUGAAUCAGUUUCUAUUUGCUCCACUCAGUCACCGCUUAAACUUAGCAGAUGAUUUCUCUUUGUUUUCUCUCGGGUCUUAUUGAUUAAGAAUGACAAGAUUGUUUCCAUUCGGUGGCUAGUGGCAG
RNAcentral lists this long non-coding RNA (15281 nucleotides) under Coffea arabica (coffee). RNAcentral describes it as "long non-coding RNA (CARA_LNC008042)". The record is from RNAcentral. Lineage: Eukaryota; Viridiplantae; Streptophyta; Magnoliopsida; Gentianales; Rubiaceae.